Molecule: long non-coding RNA, 724 nt
Organism: Gallus gallus (chicken)
Lineage: Eukaryota; Metazoa; Chordata; Aves; Galliformes; Phasianidae
Source: Ensembl
AUUUUGUGUAAAUUCCCAGAGGGGGUAACUAACUAAGGUAUCAGAAGAAAAACAGCCUUUUCUUGUAUUUUACCAUCACUGACAAUUUUGUUAGACAGUAGUUUUUACAUAUUGGCAACGCCAUUUGGUUUGACCUUUGUAGCAAAAAUGCUAAGUCAAGGCCUGAAACAGUAUGCACCUGAUGGGAGGGCAGGGCCAACCCAAGGGUACUCAGCUGCAUGCAGUGCACCUGAGUGACUGCAAGGGGUGCAGCUAGGAUCCACCCCCUCCCAGACCUCAUUUAAGGGUUGGCAGUGGAGGUAAGAGUGUUUUCCUGGAGAUCCCUGUCUACUUCAUGCUUUCUGAGGGUUGAAGUUUGUACCAAAAUGCAUGGAAAACAACAGAAGCAAAAUUCUGAAUAGCUUAUCAAAAGGACUUCAAUUACACAAAUUAUGCAUCACAAUAUUAAAUAUUCAGGACUGACAUAUGUAUUCAAACUGUGCAAAAUAUGGGAGGUGAUAUGAGAUAACCAGCAUGGUUUCACCAAAGGCAAGUCCUGCCUGACCGAUCUUGUCUCUUUUUUUUGAUGCCAUAACUGCAUCAGUGGAAAAGGAAGAACCAGUGAAGUGAGACCUCUGACACAUUCCCCCGUAACAUCCUUCUCUCCAAAUUGAAAAGGUACACAUUUGAUGGGUUGGCUGUUUGAUGGACAAGGAACUGGUUAUUAGUUGUACUCAAAGAGUGG